Molecule: long non-coding RNA, 13301 nt
Filed under: Nicotiana benthamiana
Lineage: Eukaryota; Viridiplantae; Streptophyta; Magnoliopsida; Solanales; Solanaceae
Description: long non-coding RNA (NBEN_LNC020598)
Source: RNAcentral
UUUGUUCUUGUUCCUGUUUCUGGGAGGACUUGGAGAAGGAGGUGGAGGACCCUUUGAUCUUGUGGAGUAUUCUUAUGGUGCAAGAAUGCGCGAACUAACCUUUGGGGAUGGGAAUAAAAAUAAAAGAAAAAGGUAAAAAGUUAGUGUGGAUUCUGAUAAAUAAUAUUUCCAUAUAUAAACAUAUUGUGCGGGAAUAUAAAUCGCCUCCUAAUUUGGGUGCCUCGUUGUGCCCGAGGUAGGCCUAGCGACAAAUAAAAUUUGGAGAACAUAUAAUGCUAAAUGCCUCAUUUUAUUGAUAAAAAUAAGAUGAAUCCCAAAGGGACACCAAAUAAAAUAUCACUAAUGGCCAUUGGCCUUAUUACAUCAUCAAAGCAGAAGAACAGACUCCUAACUACUUGGUCACAGAAGGGCCUUCCCCAGAUUCGGUAUUCUUACCACCCUCGUAUAGCUACAUCAACUCGCGCAUCCAUAACAGUAGGUAGGCUCGAGCCAAAUGUCCUCCUGCGCUUCCCUCAGCAUUAUGACAGUCUUCAAUUCAUUAUAUGAACUUCCCUUCUAACUCCACUAGACCUUGCUCCAGAUACCCUCAAUGAUUUUGUUGUUGGGUUGGAUUUCCAUGAGUGAAGGCAAAUUUCCUUAAUUCUUACGGACAAGGGCUCGGUCACUGCUAUGAAGAUCCUCUCACCAGCUCAGCAACCUUGGGUGGAUGUUGGAUACCAUACCGAAUCUGGGGACCUCGUGCUUCAUUUUCUCCAGAACAAAGUGUUAGGCCCAAAGGCAUUUAGUUCUCUAAAUCAAUGCACAUAACGUGAAUGUACGUUUGGGUUUCAAGAAACCCGAUGGACUUUGGCUUAGGCUUUAUUAAUGAUUCAUUAUGCGGACAACAUAACUGACUCGGCUAGGGUUGACCAUAAUGCAUGAACAGUUUAGGGGAAUAAAGUUUCUGCUUUUGAAGUGCUAGACAAACCUUGAGCGGGCAAUUCAAGAGGGAAAGGCGCAACACCAUCGACUACACCGUUGAUCGACUUGUUUCACCGCAAAUAUGCCUUUGCAAUAUUUAGGGGAUUUAUAAUAUUGGAAGAGCGCAACCACUCAUUGUGUGGGUUGCUAUUGGAUUUGUUUUGGCACGAGUGGAACAUGAUGUUGAGAAAUGCAAUUACAAUACUGAAACAAGUUACAUGUAUUUUCACGUUCAUAAGAUAAAUACUUACAAUGGUUGCUCGAAAUUAAAAUAGUAUUGAAAUAAUAAAGCGCUAAGGAAAGCAGUUAAAGGAAAAAGAAAACAAGAAGAGUUAAGUUAGUAAUUGUGAUGGAAUAACUAAAACAGAAAUAAAUGCGAUUAUAUUAAACAAGUAGAGUCACAAAAGCAAGUAAUGGUAAAAGCCUUAAAUAAAAUUCCCAGCAGAGUCAUCAUGCUGUCAACGCCCCCUUUUUCCCUCCUAAAAGAAGAAAAAUUGGGUUUACGAUAUUAUGGGAGAAACAACUCUUAUUCCCUUUUGGGAAUUGGGUUAUGGCGUUUGAAGAGUCGGCACCUGAUGAUUAUAGUGCAUUAGGACACUCUGAGAAGAAAAAAAGAUUUUAAAAGAAAACUAGAGUUCAGGUAAGGGCUUGAAAUUAUCUUGAGGGGAAGGUGUUAGGCACCCCUCAAGAUCCAAUAGUGUGGUUCCCGGCCUUGCUUAAAUAUGAAUUUAAGAAUCAUAGAAAUAAACAAGCAAAUAUGCAUAUAAAGAAUACAAAACUAGUGGAAAAUUUUGAAAGAAGAAUAGCACAAGUAAAAGGGAAAUUUUAGAGAAAAUAUUUAAACAAAAGUAAAAGAUAAGGGGGUCCUAGGUUGAACUAUAAUAUGGAUCAUCGAUACAAUAUCCCGCACAUAUUCCCACAGAGGGUCGCUUUAUGAUAUUAUCACAUCGUCAUCAUCUCCAUAUUCUACUCUUCCCACCCCGUAGAGGUUAUUUAAGCAUGUGGAUUGGUCACGAAUACUUAUUGCGUGCUAUUACUUGUCCCAUUCCAUAGAUCCUAGAUGGCAUUUAGGAUCACUAUUCCUAUAAGGUAGGAACUAGGCUGAACCCUUAAGAUUAAAGGUUAAAAUGCUAGACGACAUACAAGCAAAUAGGACUUGCACAUAAAGGGAUCAUAUAAAGAUAUAAAAGGCUUAAAUACCCCCCUAAGAAUAAACACGUAAUUAGCACGUCUCAGAUACAUUUAAGGUCUUAAAGAAGAGAGAGAGUUUUAGAAAGCUGGAGUAUAAGAUUAAAAAACAGAAGCUGGAGAGUUUUUGCAGGAAAGAGGUCAUAAGAAAAGCUUUCAGAACUUUAAGAAGGUGGUAGCAGUUUUAGUAAUUUGCAGAAAUUACUUAGAAAAACAUUUAUGGGACAUAUGUUAAAACAGUUUUUCGUACAGGCAGAGUGAAAGGACAAAUAUAAAAAUAUUUUGAGAUUGCAGAAUUGUAUAGAGAGACGGUAAACAUACUACCUUUUGAGCUUUUGAUAAUUACAGUAUUUAGAUAGUCGAAAUAGUAGUCCAAUUGUGGACAAGAAAUACAGUAAAAACCUUUUUCGUAGAUAGUUUAAAAAUAGGGCAGAAGUUUGUAUAAAUUUAGAGGGCGUUAGAGACAAACGAAUUCAGACAUAGUGGGGUUAAUUUGAACACAACUUAAAGGGUGAUUAUUCAGUCUUUAUCUGGCCUAAGGCUUCCCUAGGCAUUAUUAAAGAUGGCGAGCAUGCCCAUUUGCUUCCAGUUUUAAAAGAAGAGUCGUUAACCAAUUUUACCAAUUUAGAGAAGUAUUUAAACAGUUGCAAAUAAAAAUCCUAAAGGGCUGGAUAUCUAAUGCCCAAAAGUACAAUAAACAUGGUAUCUAAAUGUGAAGGUAAUGAGUUGUUGAUUAUUGACUGAUUGUGAUUAAGAAACGUGCAAAGAAACAACUAAGAGAGAAAAUACUAGGAACAUGAUUUCUAUAUGUAGGGAUGCAUGUCCUAAAGCAUGGUAUUUAUUGCACAAGCAAGAAAUAAAGACCUAUUGACAUGUUCUCUAACCAUUCCCUUAACCUAAGCAUGCAUAACCCUCCUAAUUCACUAUAAACCCCAUCAUUCUUUACAAAUUAUUACAGCCCAAAUAAUUAAAUACAACAAUGAUAAAAAGAAAAUGAGAAAUUGUUCGAUAGGGAGCCUUCAGCCAGACCAAACAUCUCCAACCUCACUUCUUUUGAAUUUCACAGUCGGUACCAAUGUUUGGGUGCGGCAAAGUUCCCUAAGGGCUCGUUGGAACCCCUAGCCAAUACCAAACACCCAAAAUAUCAUUAUUUGAUGAGUGCAAGAAUGGAAGAUCCAGCCUCGUGCAUAAAAGUUCCAUGGGUGCUCAAGGGCUCCCAAGGCAAUGCUUACACUAAAGGGGCAGAACCUAAUGCUCUAAGAGUAGUGAGAUUAUGAUAGGACUGAGGAGUGAGGGUGGAGGCGGCCAGAAUGGCGAUGAAGACCAUAGGAGAUUAGAGAGAAAACCAGAAGGUUCCAGAGUGAACUUAGAGAUUGAUGGUUCAAGUGAGAGAGAGAGAGACCAGUCUAUUGCAAAUGAGGGUGGGUGGAUAGAGUCAUUAGGUUUUAAUUUAGGAAAUUAAAUCUGGGUCGUUGAUCUCAUUUGAUCAACGGCUCGGAUUGAAUCAAGGAUGGGUCGGGUAAAUUAAUGGGUAUGGGCCGAUCUAUUUUAUGAAGUGGGUCGUCUAAUAGGGCUCAAAAGUGGGGCUGCCAUGAGGUUCAAUUUAGGCUAUAAUAUAAAAAAAAAUUGGCUAACUUUUAAAUAGCCAAUUUCUCCCAAUUUAUUUUGUAAAAUAGCUAAAAUAGUUAAAAGUCAAAUUGAAAGCAUUGAAAUAAUUAAUAAAAUGUAAAUAUUAAUCUAAAAAUAUUAGAGAUAAUUUUGUAACCAUAAAUCAUAAUUAAUUGCAAAAGUAGGCCAUAAUUGUAAUUCCACGCAACUAGCUUUAAAAAUUCCGAAUAAAUUUGUAAAAAAUGUUCAAAAAUUAUAUAAAUUAUAAGUUGUUAUAAAUAUGAGAGUGAAGCACAUUACUAACUAAAAAUAAUAAUUUGGAAAUAAUUUUGGCCUUUAUACUAUCAAAAAAUAGGCAGUAAAUUGAUUUUAAAAAUCUUAAAAAUUAAGGAAAAAUACCAAAUUUUCCAGGCAUGCUUAUAUAUGCAUACAUAUACUAUUUUGAAAGUACUUUGGGUGCAAAAAUAUAUAGAGAAAAAUUGGGUAUCAACAAUGAAUAUGCACAUUUCCAAUAGGAAUGAUACCUAUAUGCAGAAAGUUAAAAUAUUGACUCCUAUACGCAGGAUUUCUAUGUGAUUGAACAGUAAAAUCCUAGGAUUAUGAUAUCUACCCUUUAAUGCAGGAAAGUAAUGACCCCCACCCCCGCCAUUUUCACUAUAUUCUCCAAGUUUAUACAAGUUAUUACAAAUUAAAAAAAUAAAGAAAAUACAUCAGAAGCUAUCAGAUGCAUCCAAGGUACCUAAAUAAGACUUAAUGCCAUAUACUAUGCGAUUGAACCACUUCUGGGAUCCAGAUUUCCUAAGCCUUCUCUUUAUCUAGGGUGCUUGAAAGUUCCAUUAGAAUAGAAACAAUGUAGUGUGAAAAAGGCAGCUUUCAGGCAUCCAAGUUAAGAGGGAUCUCAAGGGUUCCAAAGAAAGGCUUGCAAGAGAGGGGCAGAAUUUAAUCACUAAGAAUGAGUGUAAGUGCAGAAGGGAUUGGGGAGCCAUAACAAGUGGUGGUCAUGCCUAGCCAUAAAACAGGUUGGCACAUCUCUGACUAACCAAGUCUGGAUAGUGAUUAGCGCACUGGCAAACCAAGAUCUAAAGCUCAAGCACACAUAACGGGAAAGGGAGUAGGAAUUUAUUGAGUUUGGGAUUCAAAGAAUCCAGUCCAGACACAUGAACAACAAUAUUUAAGUAUUUUCAUGCUUUAUGAACCAUAAAUAUCAUACAAAGGUGUAGGGAUAAAGGCAUUCACACAAGAACAAAGAUGACAAACUUGCAAUGAAGCAGUAAGAAAGAAGCACAACAGAACUGAAGUAUAAAACACAUAGGAGAGAUCCAAAUAUUUAAUCUAGAAUAGACAUGCCAGUUGCAACGAUUAAAGAGCAUAACGAGAAAACAGAGCACUCGCAGCCACAACACAAAGAACACUAACUCAGGAUUUUAGAGAAAACUCGAAAGGUUUUGAGAAAACGUAAAGGUAUUUGAGAAAGAAAAGAGAAGUGGUGUCUAGAACAGAUCUGUGAGUUCAUAUGUUUGUGUUAAUGAGAAAGCCAAGUAUUUAUAGUGUAAAAAUAGGCAGAAAAUAAGGUAAGGAUUGUAGUUCAGCAAUAAAUAGGGAAACAAGUGUCAAAUUAAAAUAAAAUCAGUAUCAAAUACUUCCUUUAAUUAAGUAAUUCAAAUCAAACAGUAACAUGCAAGUGCUAAAUAAGGAAAUAAAUCACAUAGGCUGAAUAUGACUAAUAGGGAAGUAUUUCCAGCAUAGUACAGGUACAUAGUAGGUAAUAGAGGCUAGGUUUAUCAGAUUCUAAUCAAGGAAAGGUCUAUAAGAAUCCAAUACUAAUAUAAUCAAGGUAAGGGAAUCAAUCAACACGAGUAGGAAAGGUAGGGGUCGAGAUUUCAAAGGCAAGCAUUCAAAUAGGUCUGAAAAGCAAGGAAUCAGUACAAUAAGAAAAGAACUCGGAAUCACACAAAGAGAAUUGAAAUCAGUCCAUAAUCAAGGGCUACUUCGAGAGGGAAAUUUAACAUAUAAAGGAGUGCAUAGCCUUAGGCAUGUGAGGUUGUACUCAAAACAAAUAGUAUAAUCAAAUGAUAGUUACGUAAGUGAGGUUUAGUGAUUUAGAAAGGAUCAUGCAAGGAGUCGAGUGAAAAUCAUAGAUGAGUUUGACAAGUAGCAAAGCUCAUAACCAAAGAAAUACAUGCUAAUGUGAAAGAAUCAGGUGAAGAACUUCAGGAACUCAAAUAGACCCCAAAGAACUAGGGUUUUCCAAAAUCAGUCAUGCUUUAGAAGAUGAGAAGAUAAAUAUAUAAACAAUCUUAGAGUCUCAAAUAAACCCUAAAAAUUAGGGUUUUCACCACUUAUGCAGUAAAUCAAACGAUACCUAACAUGUAGACUCAGAAAUCUCAAAAAAAUAUUAAAAAUUAGGGUUUUCCAUCACCAAUUAAACCUAGAGAUGCUAAGAAGAUGAAUCAAAAAAAUCAUUAAAAGACAGACUCAGAAACCCUAGUUUAAAUUCAAUGGGUUUUGAAAAAUCAAAUUUGGAGAAAAUGCUUUAAACAUCACACACAACAUAGAUCUAGCACAGAUCUAAACGAAUAAAACAAAAAAGAACCUUCAAUAAGCUAGGGUUUCUGAGAACCCUACAGGACGAUAAAGGCUUGGAAGUCACGAGAUCAAAUCUGAGUCGAUAAAGUUGGAACGAGGCUCUAGAGGCUAAGAUACGCCGGAGUGGGGCCGGAAAUGGCUGAAAACCUUGAAUCGAUGAAGAUGUGGGUGAAGACCCUUGAAUAUUUACCUCGAAUCUUCAGGCACCGGGCAUGUGAGAGAAGUAGGAGGUGAGUAUAGGUCGUCCAUGGCUAGAGCAGCCAUGGAUUCUGAUGGAUUUGAGGUCGAAAAGAGGUAGGCAACAAGUAGGGUUCGAGAGCGUUUGAGAGAGAUGAGGGUUCGAGAGCGGCGUGUUUGAGAGAAUGGGGAGGGUAUAGGGGUUGUUUAGGAUUAAAAAGGUCGAGGGGAUCUGGGCCGUUGAUCAAAAUGAACAACGACUCAGAUUUUAAAACGACACGUACCGGUUCGGGUAAUAAGUGCUGAGUCGGUUCGAAUUAGGGUUGGGCGAUUUUGUGUUUGACUUGGGCGGAGAUUGGAGUGCCGAUUUUGGCUAAAAUUGAAAUGAACUAGGGCCAGACUUUAAAUUGUCACCUUUUCCCAUUUGAUUUAUAAAAUGUAGUAAUAAUAAUUUUAAAAGAAAACUAAAAGUACUGAGUAGAUAAAUAUUAUAUAAAUAUUCACUUAAAAAUACUAGAAAUAAUUUAUAAUUGUAAAAUAUUGUUAAUUGCAAAGUAGGCUAUAAUUGCAAUUAUAUACAAUUUAUCUUUAAAAUGUCAAAUAAAUUUAUAAAAAAUGGGAAAAACUUAUCUUAAUUAUAUUUUGGUGUAAAUAUGAGUAUAAAGUAAGUUAUUCACCAAAAUAAUAAUUUUAGACAUAAUUAUUGGAUUUUAUGGUAUAAAAUAGGCAGUAAUUUGGUUUAAAAAUCAUUAAAAAUCCAAAAACUCAUGGGUGUACUUAUAUGAACUUAUAUAUUCUUUCGGAAGUAUUUCGGGUACAAAAUAUAUAGGAAAAAUUAGGUAUCAACAAUUACAGAGUUCUUUAAUUACGACGAUCUUUUUUUUGUCAUAGUAUAAUUAUAGUGUAUAUAUCAGUUUACUGUUUGGUUGUACAAGUGUAUUUUGCAUAGUUAGAUUAAAUUUUAAAUUAAAUAAUUAUCAAAACUUAAAACCUAAUAUAAUAAAUAUAUUCCUAUAAAUUUUAAUAAGUAAUAAUGAAAGUAUAUUUGGUAUUUAAGAUGUAUAUUUUUUCAUGCAUAUACAAUAACUAGUAAUCAAAUAUUUAUAACAAUAUUUUAAGAAUAAUUUGUGCAUAUGUUGUAAGAACAUCGUGGAAUUCAUUUUUGAUAAAAUAGAUUGAUAUUUAUAAAUAUAAUAUCAUAAUAUUUUUCAAAUGUUUGACAAAACUAAUCUAUCAAUUCUAACUAAAAAAUGAAUAACAUGCAAUGUGAACUAAUUCUACUAAAACAAGUAAAUUAGAACCAUCAAUAUAAUAAACUUUAAAAGUUCAAAAAAAAAUUAACAUAUGUCAAAUUCCAACAUAAUAAUAGUAAAUUCCACUACUACUUAAGAUUAAGAAACAUUAUAAGUUUAUAACCAAAUUCAACAACAAAGUUUCACUUUAAAUGCAACAAUCAUUAAACGCCAAAUUUAUUAAUGACUCAUUAUUUAUAAUAUUAGGAGGUACAGUUUUAGAAAAUAGAAUAAAUAAAUAAAUAAAUAAAUAUAAGGAAUUACAUGGAAUCACAGGAAGUAAAGAUAGAGAAAUAAGAGAUAAAUAAUGUACAAAGAAAAUAUAUUUUAAAAUUUUAAAAGAAAUUAUGUAAAAAUAAAAUCAAAAAUUAAAAUGUAACGACCGAACCGGUCGUUUUACUGUUUAUAACUUUGUUCUCCUAAAUAAAAAAUUUCGCACUUUCUUUAGCUGGUUUAUGACUUGCGGGGACGAUUGGUUCGGAAGUUAGAAGAGUUUUGAAUAAGAAUAUAUCCAUUUACUUCUUUAAGAUUUUCUUAAAAGGCCAAGUUUGACUUCGAUCAACUUUCUUGGGAAACGGGUUUGGAUUUGUGAUUUGAUAGUCCCGAAGAGUGGUCUUGGGAAAAUAUGGGACCUGGGUGUAUGCCGUGAAUCGAAUUCUGAGAUCCCUAGCCCGAGAAAUGAUUUUUUAUGUUAAAUUGUUAAAUUGAAGUAUUAAAGAAUUAAAGAAACUAAGUAUCCAUUGAACUCCGAGGAAUCGGGCUCUAAUUUUGGUUCCAAAAUUUCGUGCAGGUCCGAAAUAUCAGUUAGGACUUACCUGUAAAAUUUGGCAACAAUUCGAGUAGUUUAAGGAUAUUUUGACCUGUUAGAAGAAUAUUAAGAACUUCAAGUUCAAUGGUUUUACUCAUUUUGGUUUGGGGUUUUAUUCCUCGAUUUAGAGUUAUUUUAAAUGUUUCGAGGGUUCGAGUAGGACUGCCUCGUGAUUUAAAAUUUAUCGGUAUGUUCGGGCAGGGCUUGGGAGCCCCAGGUGUCAAAUGGCCGAGGCUGAGUGAAGCUAGAAAGUUGAAAAAGGCGGAAGGUUGCUGCUUCUGUCAUAACUGCAUCUGCGGUUCUAGGAUCGCAGAAGCGGGACCGCAGAUUUGGUCAUUGAUCGCACAAGCGGCCUAAGGGAGACCACUGAAGCGGCCUAAGAACCACAGAAGCGGUUCCGCAUAAGCACUUUUUAGACCUCAGAUGCGGUCUAGCCUCCCUUAGCCCAUGUCGACGCCCCCCCCCUAGGGUGCUUGAAAGUUCCAUUAGAAUAGAAACAAUGUAGUGUGAAAAAGGCAGCUUUCAGGCAUCCAAGUUAAGAGGGAUCUCAAGGGUUCCAAAGAAAGGCUUGCAAGAGAGGGGCAGAAUUUAAUCACUAAGAAUGAGUGUAAGUGCAGAAGGGAUUGGGGAGCCAUAACAAGUGGUGGUCAUGCCUAGCCAUAAAACAGGUUGGCACAUCUCUGACUAACCAAGUCUGGAUAGUGAUUAGCGCACUGGCAAACCAAGAUCUAAAGCUCAAGCACACAUAACGGGAAAGGGAGUAGGAAUUUAUUGAGUUUGGGAUUCAAAGAAUCCAGUCCAGACACAUAAAAGAGUGUUUUUUGAGAGUAAAACCAGAGUUGGGUAAGGGCUUGACACUAUCUCGAGAGGCAGGUGUUAGGCACCCCUCAAGAUCCACAAAUAUGGUUCUCGGUUGUGCUAAUUGUGACUUUAUAAAGAAGAUGAAGCAGGUAGACACAUGAAGUACACGUAUUCACAUAAUUUGAGAGCUUUGAAGAAAAGGACAUAAGUAUGAAAUAAAAGAUGAUUAGUUUGAAAAGUAUUGAGGAAAGCAUUUAAAUAAAUCACGUAAAAGAAAGAAGGGUCCUAGGUUUGAAUAUAAAAUGGAUCAUUCGAUGCAAUAUCUAGCUCAUAUUCCCAAAGAGGGGUCGCUUUAUGAUAUUAUCGCAUCGUCAUCAUCUCCAUAUUCUACCCUUCUCACCCUGUUAAGGUAUAUAAACGUGUGAAUUGGUCAUGGAUACUUAUUGCGUGCUAUUACCCGUCCCAUUCUAUAGCUCCUAGAGGGCAUUUGGGAUUUCUCUUCCUAUAAGGUAUGAGCUAGGCUUGAACCCCUAGGUUUAAAGGUUAAAACACUAAGCGACAUACAAGAACAAGCAGGACUACACGUAGAACAAUCAUGCAAAGUCAUAUAAGAAGGCUCAAAUAUCCCUCCAUAAGCGGACACACUACUAGCACGUCUCAAACACACGUAAGGUCUAAGGAAAAGAGAGUUAAAGUUGGAGUGUAAAUUAAAACUGAAGUUAAAAAAGUUUGCAGAAAGGUACGUAAGAGAAAAAGAUCGUCCAGAACUGAAAAGAGGUAGUAUAAAUUUUAGAAACCCGCCGAAGUCAUUUAGAAACAUUUGUGGGAAGCCUGGUAAAACAGUGUGGACAGGCGGACCAAAGAACAAGCGUAAAAACAUUUUCUUGAGAUUACAGAAGCAUAUAACAAUGACAUAUAGGCUUUUGGAGCUUUGAAAAAUUAGUUCUCGGAUAGUUGAAAUAGUGGCCCAAGUCUGGACAAGAAAAAUACAGUAGAAACCUUUGCACAGAUGGUUAAAAAAUAUGGCAAGAGUUUGUAAAAAAUAGUGAGGGCUUCACAGACAAACGAAUUCGGGCCGAGGUGGAUUAAUUUGACCACAACGUGCAGGUGAUUAGCCCAUUUUAUCCGGCCUAAGGCUUGCCUAGGCAUUACUUAUAGAUGGUGAGCAUAUAAUAGUUUCCUAAUGGCAUGAUAUCUAAUGCAAAGGAAGUCCUAUAAGCAUAAUAUCUAAAUGUGAUGGUGAUGACUCAUUGAUUAUUGAUUAAUCAGAGUCAUAACAAACAGACAGCAAGAGUCCUAAAGAACAAGUUUUCUGUUUGUGAAGAUGCAUGUCCAAAAGCAUGAUUUCUAUUGCGCAAAUAGGUAAGUAAAAUCCUAUAACAUGUUUUCUUCCCAUUCCCCUUAACUACACAUGCAUAACCCUUCCAAUUUAACUAUAAACCCCAUUAUUCAUUACAAGUUAUAAUAGACCAAGUAAUGAAAAGUACAACAGUGAUAUAAAAAAAAUUAUUCUAUAUGGAGCCUACAGCCGGGCCUAAGAUCUUCAACCUCACUUCUUUCGAGCUUCAUAGCCAUUACCAAGGCUUGGGUGCGGCAAAGUUCCUAAGGGUUCUUUUCAACCCCUGGCCAAUACCAGGCACCCAAAGUAUCAUUAUUAGACAAGUUCAAGUGUGGAAGUGCCAGCCUUGUGCAUCAAAGUUCAAUGGGUGCUCAAGGGCUCCCAAAGCAAUGCUUACACUAAGGGGACAGAACUUAGUGUUUCUAAGAGUAGUGAAGUUGUGAUAGGAUUGAGAGAGCUUGAGAAUCAAUUUAAGAAAAACAUCAGAAGGAUUAUGAGACAUUUAAGAAAAUAGUUUAAAAGGGCUAAAAAAGUUGACAGGGAUUCUUUGAAAAUCAAUUGUACUAACCAGCUUAGCAUUAUACAAACAGGGGGUAAAGGGGGAGGGAGCUGAUAAGCACAGGGAUCUACUAAUAUAUAGGAAAACAUAGUGAAGGUAGGUAACCAGACAUAGUUGUAGAAUAAAUAAGGUUCAGUUCUUACUCCACCCAACCCCAAUACACUUAACCUCAGGAAGAGGUGUUACGCUAAUCAAGUAGCCAAGCAGCCUUGGACACAUGUUAGUAAUGCACAAAGAAAAGUAAACAUUCAUUGAGGCAGGGAAGGGGUAGAAGGAUCAUGCUAAUCCAAGCUAAAUAGGCUGGUAAGUGUAUACUAGUGACAACAAGAGCAGCAGAACCAUAGGUGAGAGCACACAAGAAACAAGAAGAAGUGCAAAACUAGUAAAAGCUUAUUGUUUUGGAAACUGUAUAUUAAAUAGGGAACAUACAUGUUGCAGAAAAUACAACACAAUAUCAAUGAGCAGUAGUGCACAAUAGAGAGCAAAGUAUGCAGAGAAAGGGAGCAGCAAGGUGAGAACAGCAGUGUGCAGCACAGUGUGAGAAUGGCAGUGUACAACAAAGAGAGCAACAGGCAAACCCAAGUAAGCAAUGUAGUAGAACCUUAGUAUGUAGAAAUAAACAGGCAAGAUUACUCAAUCUUGGCGUUUAGACGAUUGAGUAUUUAAAUAGAAUAAUAAGAGGGUAUAGAAACAGUAGAGAAAGAGAGAACACUGAGUGUUUUGAAAGAGAGAGUUCAGAGAGUUUGAACUUGUGUAUGUGUAUGAGAGAUACGCAAUGUGUUGUUUUUGAAAGAAGGAUUAGAGAAAUUGUGCUCGUGUUUGAUGAGUAGAGAAGAGUAGUACUUAUAGCUUUUUGAAAAUAGUAGAGAAUAGGGUAGGAAGUGUAUAAUUAUAGAAACAAUAUCAAAUUAAAUCAAUCAAAGGUCCUAAUUCAAAUAAAUUAGGGACUCAAAAUUCGAAUGAGAAUACAAGCUAUCAAAUAAGAAAAAAGUCAGUUGAAUGAUUGACUAUACCAUAACAAAAGCAAUAGGCAUGAUGUACAUAAUAACGGCUAGGUACACAAUAUUACAAACAAGGCAAAUAUUUGUUGAAUAACAAAAAUAUAUAUAAAUAAACAACUAUGGCAAGAAAUAUAAAUUAUCUAUGAAAAGUCAGUCAAAGAAUCAUGGGCAAGACCUAAAUCAUUGGGAAUCUCACAAGUAAGGAAAUAAUUCAAAAUCGAUGUAAGAACUUUUUAAGGAAAAUUCAUACAAAUUAGGGAUUCAAAGAGAUGCACGUAAUUAGUUGAAUAUUGCAUGAACGAUGAACAAUUGGACCUAUAAAACACAAUAGACAUGAAAAUCAGAGAGCCUUAGGCAAGAAAGCAUGGAAGUAGUAAAGGGUUGGAACCUAAAGAGCUAAAGUAAUGGAACAUGGAUUAAUAGGGAAACAAUCAAACUCAUAAUGAAAAUAAACACAAACAAACACAUAAUACUCAAGAAAAGUCAGAAAGCAUAACGAUUUUGCAAAAAAAAGGGGUCAGAAAGCGUUUUGAAAAAGAGGUACAGAACGUUUGAAAAAUCGAGUUAAUCAAAGAUAUCGAGUGAGAUGGAGUGUAGAAAACAUAGAUUAAACCAGAAAUCUCAUAAAAGGACAGAAGUUUUAUGAUAUUUAGGCAAAGAAAAUUAGGGUUUGCAAAAAUAAAUCAGGGAACAAGAAACCUGGCCGUGAAGCUCGUGUACAAUGCCAUAGAAGGCAUCAUCAUACAAAGACCACCGGAGAAAAGCCAGAAACAGACCCAAAUAAAGCUUUAGUGACCCCUUUCAUGGCGGAAGCUGCUGGCUUCAAACUUUAGAGAGAAGAUAGCGAUACAUGGACUCCAUGGUUGCUGGAGGUCGAGAGAAGGGAGGGAGGAGUGAGCCGGAGAGGCGAUGGUCAUCAUCGGGGAAGACAGAGAGAACAGAAGGUUCUAAAGAGAUGAGGGUUAGAUAGCAUCUGUUAGAG